CCGAGAAUGGGCCUUCUGCGCCCGCAGC
This 28-nucleotide small RNA is filed under the name Bombyx mori (domestic silkworm). Its description in RNAcentral is "ovarian small RNA-13792". Lineage: Eukaryota; Metazoa; Arthropoda; Insecta; Lepidoptera; Bombycidae. The record is from RNAcentral.